Mastomys coucha (southern multimammate mouse) is the source of this 1914-nucleotide long non-coding RNA. RefSeq lists it as uncharacterized. NCBI's taxonomy places the organism in Eukaryota, Metazoa, Chordata, Mammalia, Rodentia, Muridae. The transcript is spliced from 7 exons. The record is from RefSeq and is a predicted model, not a curated record.
CCCAAAGGAGACUCUUUGCUUUGAGACUGGCUCAUUCCCACCCCCAACCUCAGAGCCAGCCCACCGAUUCCAGACACCCCAACUCCUGACCAAGGCUCCAGGGGAGAUCUGAAGCACAGCAGGAAAAGCCAUGGGCAUUGCCUGAGCAACCAUAGGAGCCAGGAUUCAACAUAUGCCACAGAAGAGACAAUCUUUUCCAUGAACCCCUUGACAUUCAUCCUGCGGUCUGAACCUGAGGUAGAGAAAAUUUCUUCCAUCAAGGUUUAUAAUUUUACAGCCCCUGUCUCAUAUUUUACUGUGGAACAAUCCAACAGAAGACAUAUAUCAUAUCUCAACUCUUCAUGCUUUGUAACCUGAAUGAUCUCAAUCCCCUUCGUAUCUAAUUUGAGAUCAGUUGCCAGGCCUUCAGAGAGCAUUAAUGGUAGCAGCAGACUUAUGAGAAACAACAUCAUAAGGAAAGAUGUCUUGGCUGAAAUGAACCAAAGAUGUCUUAGUUGAAGCAAUCAGUACUUGUGACACAAAGGGGAAGAUUGCACUGCAGAAUGUUCAUAUAUUGACCCAACACUUCAUCCCUGGGAUAAAGCUUAUUUGAUCAUGAUGGAUGAUGUGCAGUUCUGCUGAAGCUGAUGCAAUCCUGAGGCCAGAUUCAGACUUUGUCUUUAUGACAUGGCUCUUGAGUGGAACAGUUGAAUCAAGUAAUACCUAAUACAAAUAUCACAGUGAUAUGUUUUUGUCAUUUUAUGAAAUACAAGACUCAAGAACAUCAGCUGUACUGUUCUCCGAAACAAGCCACAUGGAAUAAGUUUCAGCUUAAAGUACAGAACAAUCUGAAAUUCAAAUAACUAGGUUGAAAGAGUGUGCCAAACAUUUCUUUUUACCUGCACUAACUCCUCAUUCAAACAUCCAGGAUUUCCCAAAGCCAUUCUAUAUUAACUACAAACUGGCAUCAGAGGUUACAGUAAGAUAAAUGCUAUCAUCACAGGUUGUCACAUGAGUAAAAUAGUAAAAUAAAUACAGAUAUGCAGAAAACACCAGAAGAAAAUGUCCAGCCCAAGAUGGAUAACUACACUCAAGAAAAUACAGGAAAUACAUAAUUUCUCAUCAUCAAAUCCAAAAGGAGGGUAGCAUACACAGAAGCACACAAACUCACCCACACACACAUACAUAAACACACACACAUACACACAACCACCAGCAAUAUCAAAACAACAAGAAUUAAGAAUUGCUUGUCACUAAUUCCUUUCAGCAUUAAUGGGAAUAGUUUCCCAAUGAAAAGACACCAUCUACUAGAAUGGCUGUAGAUGAAACUUGAUCCAUCAUUCUUCUUUGUACAAGAAAACACUUCAAUAACAAGGAUAGAGAUUACCUCAGAGCAAUGAGCUAGAAAAUAAUGUUCCAAUCCAACAGAUCCACAAAGGAUUAUGGAGUAGCCAUUGUAAUAUCUAAUAAAAUAGACAUUCAACAAGAAUUAUUCAAAAGAGUUGAGGGAAGAAACAUAAUGUUCAACAGAGGAAAAAUCCACCAAGAGGACAUUCCAAUUCUGAAUAUCUAUACUUAAAAUAAAAUCACACUCACAUUUAUAAAGGAAAUAUUACUAUAGCUUAAAUCCUAUAUUGAACCAUAUGUUAAUAGUGGUAGACUUCAAAACCCUUCUCCCACCAAUUAAAGAUAAUCCAAACAAAAGCAAAACAUAGAAAUAAUGGAACUAAUAGAUAUUGACACAAAUGGACCUAACAUAUCACAAGAAUAUUUUAGUGAAAAACAAAAGAACAACACUAUAUGGAAUCUUCUCCAAAAUUUAGCAUAUACUCAGCCACAAAGCAUUCCUCAACAAACAAAAGAAAACUGAAAAACAAAACAAAACAAAAACAACAAAAAACAAAACAAAACCAAUCAACCAACAAAACAAACAAA